GAGUAUCUGUGUACAUGGAUGAAUGUAAAUGUGUCUGCGUGUAGUCAACUGCUGUUGUUAACACACGAUGACGUUUCAUAUUCAUUCUUCUAAUGUUACUCUGCUAUAUUAUAGAUAUUGUUGCGUCACAGACGGAUUUCUAUCCUACAAACGUUCUAUUGCGUUUUACUGUUAAAAUGUGCGCACUUCCGGUUUAGCGGCUGCGCUUCGGUUUCGUUUUAAAAGGAACAAACAAAAAGGGAUUUACAGACAAACAGAUCGGUCGUUUUUUCGUGUUUGGAUUUGGACAGAAAAGGACAUUUACUCUUUUGGUUUAAAUGUUAUUGUGUUAUUUCCGUUUUAUUUCCGUAUUUUUCGUCUAAACGGUAAAGGAACUUUGCAAAGGUUGACGGCCCGUUAACACACAAACACACAGUAAACACACGCUGUGUGUCACGGGACAUACUCACACGAUGUGACACUUUAAGACGUUAAAGUGAAGCUUGGUGACUUUCUACGCGUCUCCCUCACGUCUUCUUCUUCUUCUUCUUCUUCUUCUUCCGGUUUGUUCUGGCGGGUCGCAACCAGCGUCACGUGACCAGGUGCAUCGCGCCACCUGCUGUACCGGAGUGUGCAGGUUCAGGGUUUAUUGCUCAGCCUGCCGCUGUUACCUGGAUCCUACGACCUGGUCCCGUCUCUUCUAUGAGACGCAUCAGGGGUCUAAAGCAGUCGGGCCCACCCUGCUCCACUGACACGACUCCCUCCACACUCCACUUCCGUCCCCGGUGGACAAUAAACGCUGUGUGUGACGGAGCAGCAGAGGAAACUAAUUCACAGUAAAUAUAAAUAUCAGACAUGAAAGUGUCUCAAUGGAGCAGAUCAGAGUUGUUAGAGCCUCGAGGGGCGAAGAGCAAAGAGGAAAAGGGCGGCGUUUACCCUGAACACCCGUCCACAGCAGCACAGAGAGAACGGCCCCCCCUCACCCACUGAGGGACACCGUGCACAUCAGGAGCCCAACGACACGACCAACGUCCAACAAACAGGCGUUUAAAAAGGGCGGCAGUGCUACUUUCUGCACGGACGCUUCAGCUUCACCAUUGGAAAUCCAUAUGGAGUGUGUUGGAAUGAGUGCGAGCUCCAGUUUUGACAGGAGACGCUCCAACGUUUGAGGCCGGAGGACAUGCUGUGGAGAACAAUGAUGUCCACUUUAGGAAAAAGAUAUUCAUUGACUGCUGUAAAACGUCUCUCUAGCGUGUUGUG
This is a long non-coding RNA of Gasterosteus aculeatus aculeatus (three-spined stickleback), 1239 nucleotides long. The record is from Ensembl. NCBI's taxonomy places the organism in Eukaryota, Metazoa, Chordata, Actinopteri, Perciformes, Gasterosteidae.